AGAUUUUAUUUUGUUCAUGUUAUAGUUGUCACCUUUACAAACUGAAGAUAAGACCAAAAGUUUGGGUCAAGUCAAAAGAAGAAGCCGAGAAGCAUUGGUAAACUCAAAUGAUCCUAUUGUAACAUUGAAGAUGAUUGACUCAAUCCAACGGCUGGGAAUUGGUCAUCAUUUGGAAGAUGAGAUCAAUAUACAACUUGGGAGGAUAUGUGAUUGGGACCUUUCUCAAGACCUCUUUGCCACAUCCCUUCAAUUUCGGUUACUGAGGCAUAAUGGCUGGACCACAUGUUCUGGUAUAUUACAUUAUCUUAAUUAUUAUUUUGGAUCAACGUCAUGUAUAUGCUUUGAAUUUUCUUAUGCUUUGGUCCAUUUUGUCAUAUUAAGAGAGAAAUAAACAACUAAAUUAGCAUAAUAAUAAGACAAAACACUUCCUUAAAAAAACAAAGACAAAACACUUAAUUUGAUAUGGUGGUAUGUCUUGGGACCUUUCAUUUUCCACCCUACUUGAAGGUCAAUUAUGAUGAUGAGGUAGCGUUUAGUUGAAAAAUUUAAUAUCCAUGUCAUUAUUAAUUUGUUUUAUUCAAUAGUUAUUAUUUAUAAAAUAUCGAUUAUUAAAAUAAUAAAUUUAAUUAUUUAAACAAUAUAUUUAUUAAAAAUGUUAAUGAAUGCCUUCAUGACAUUUUUUAAAGAUCAUAAGUAGCAAGUGUUUAUGAAAAUGUAUGCAAUCAAUGUAUUGGAAAUAAAAAUAUUUAAUUUUUUUAAAGAAUAAUUAUUUAUUUUAAAAUGCUUAAAGAGUAUGUUGAGGUACUUGUUAAAAAGACCAUAUUAUAUUGGGAAAUGUUAUAUAUGAUCUAAUACUCAAUUAUUAUAUGAUUUUUUAAGUCUUUGUACUCUCUUUCAGUUAAAACUAUUGAUAGUCUACCUAUGUAUUAUUGGAUGUAUUAUUGGAUUUCACUUGAUAAUGAAUGUAUUACUACUAUAUUCACAUUUAUAUAUAUAAGAUUGGGGUUUGAACCUAGGCCACCACAAAAAAAAAAAUCACAUUUAUAAUAAUUAUUGUACAUAAAGUAGCUUACUUAGGUGCUGCUAAAAGAAAUAAACUUAAUGAUUUGAUUAGUGUGGUUGUAGAUGUUUUCAGGAAGUUUUUGGACAAGAGUGGCAAUUUCAAUGAAUCACUUACCAAAGAUGUUUGGGGUAUGUUGAGUUUAUAUGAGGCAUCAUAUUUAGGGACAGAAGAUGAAGAAAUAUUAAAAAAAGCCAUGGAAUUUUCAAGGGCUCGUCUAAGUGAGUUAAUCCCACACCUUAGUCCUGAAGUGGGUAGGAACAUUGCCAAAUCCUUAACACUUCCAAAGCACCUAAGAAUGGCAAGGUUAGAAGCAAGGAACUAUAUGGAAGAAUAUAGCAAAGGAAGUAACCAAAUACCUGCUCUUCUGGAAUUGGCAAAGUUAGACUCUGAUAUGGUUCAGUCAUUACACCAAAGAGAAUUAGCAGAAAUAUGCAGGUGACUUUAUGCUCAAGAUUACACUAUAAUAAAAAAUUGAAUUAAGUGUGUAUUGGAUGGAUUGGUUGCAUUACACUAUAAUAACACCAGAUGUAAAUCAAUAUUGAAUAUCAUGUCACACUACCAAAAAAUUAAAUUAGCAACGGAUAUUUAAAGAUGAAAAUUUUGAAAUUUGUCUCUAGUUCUGCCACUAAAUUUAGCGACAAGGAAUUAGAGACAAAAUUAUUUUUUCUUCAUAAAUAUUUUGAUUGUCAAUUUACUAGUGUUUACUUCAUUUUUCAAAUUCAAAUAAUGUAUUUCAAAAUUAAUUUCUGCCAAUAACAUUACAAAUUUCAUACUUCUUUCUGUCUAUUACUAUGUUAUAAGAAAUGCUACAUUUCAUAACUAGUUUAUUUGAUUUGUUUAGGUGGUGGAAAGAGUUGGGACUUGUUGAAAAACUUGGUUUUGCAAGAGAUAGACCAACAGAGUGCUUCUUAUGGACAGUAGGGAUAUUUCCAGAACCAUGUCAUUCAAAUUGCCGCAUAGAACUUACAAAAACCAUAUGUAUUUUGCUAGUAAUGGAUGAUAUCUUUGACACUUAUGGAACAUUAGAUGAACUUGUUCUUUUUACAAAGGCAAUUAAAAGGUACGCUUCUAUAGAUUUUGUAUGUAUUUAAACUUAAUUAACGAUAGAAACUAAUUAUAAAUUAACCAUGCUAAACUGAACUUUAUGUUUUGCAGGUGGGACCUUGAUGCAAUGGAUCAACUUCCAGAAUACAUGAAGAUAUGCUAUAUGGCAUUAUAUAACACCACAAAUGAAAUUGCAUACAAAAUCCAAAAAGAACAUGGACUAACUGUUGUUUCUUACUUGAAAAGAACAGUAAGAAUCUAAAUAUCAUAUUUCUAAAUUUAAACCAAAGUAUAGCUAAGAUUAAUAGGUUAAUAAUUGUAGACUUGGUGAUUAAUUUGUGCAGUGGAUUGACAUAUUUGAAGCAUUUCUUGAAGAAGCCAAAUGGUUCAAUAAUGGAUGUGUGCCAAAUUUUAAGACAUAUUUGGAUAAUGGAGUAAUUUCUGCUGGAUCAUGCAUGGCCUUGGUGCAUGCUACUUUCCUCAUUGGUGAUGGUCUCUCAAAGGAAACUAUGUCCAUAAUGAUGAAGUCAUAUCCCAGACUCUUCACUUGCUCCGGCGAAAUUCUUCGACUAUGGGAUGACUUAGGAACUUCAACGGUAUCACUUUGAUCCCUACUAAAAAAAUCGUGAAUACUGAAAAUCAAUCAAUAAAUAAAAGGUCAUGCUAACUUGUGCCCUAAGGGCACCUCUUAAACAACCCAAAAAGAGCAACUUUAAUGUGCCCUUAGGGCUGUCUCAUUACAAAUAUCUACAGAAUAAGUAAAAAAUUCAAUUAAGAUUACUGAUAUCUUACUAAUUUUGAUGUUCAGGAGGAACAAGAAAGAGGAGAUAAUGCUAGUAGUAUACAAUGCAUGAUGAGAGAGAAUAAUAUUUCAGAUGAAAAUGAAGGAAGAAUACACAUAAGGAUGCUACUAGGGAAUUUGUGGAGAGAGCUGAAUGGUCUUGCCACGACCAAAACCAUACCUUUGUCUGUUGUCAAAGCUUCUCUUAAUAUGGCAAGAACUGCUCAAGUUAUUUAUCAACAUGGAGAUGAUCAAAGCACAUUUACUGUUGAUGACUAUGUGCAAACAUUGAUCUUCACAUCAUUACCUACUAGCCAUUGAAUGGAAGAGAUACAAAUUCUAUGCCUAUAGUAUUUUAUUUGAAAAAUAGGGAAACAUGUAAUGCUUAUAAAAAAUAACUUGUAGAUUGAAAAAAAUAAAAUUAUAAAUGACAUAUUUUUGUCAUGGACCUUAUUGUUUAUUAUAUAAAAGACUGCAGUCUUAUGGCUAAGUAGAAAUAAUGCUACAAGAAUUAUGAACUAUUUUGUUUAGCUUGGGAGGAAUUAACCAGUAACCACCAUAUUUACCUGAGGAAUAUUUUCAUGGAGGAAAAAUGGUUAAAGCUAUAACAGUGUUAACAAGAGCAAAAUUGGUAUACCUCUAUGAAAUUGAUAAGGGAUGCGAUCUUUUUUGAUGGUGGCCAUGGUUUGAGCCUCGUGGCUUGCAUAUAUUAUGCAUUGUCUAUACCAACUGAAUUACGUUCACGGGAACGAUAAAGGAUGUGAUCUAAACAAUAGUCAGAGGGUUAAUUUAUAAUCAUGAUAAUUCGAAUAAUUCUCCAAGGGGAAACAACUUCCCCAACCAUGGUUGGAACUGGAAGCCUAGCGAAUUUAACACAAUCCAAAAUCUCCCACUAUUCAAACUCUCCAACAAAUUGGUAGGCAUCAUAGUUUUCAAAAGAGCCUUUUAGAAAACUUCAUGACAAUUCAAUCGAGGUGUCAUAUCAAGAGAUUAGAAAACAAUUUAAAGAGAUUAAGGAACAAAAUCUCUUAAUCAUGGAUGGUAUCAAAUUCUUAGCCUCCAAUGCAGACUAUGUCCUCCCACACAAAAUUAAAAUCUCUCAAACUUUUAACGAAAUCUCUUCCAAAGCACAUACCACAUCAAACAAACCUCCAAUAAUUAGGUAGAUUUGGGGUCUAAUUCAUACCGUAUAGUUUCUCAGGUGAUUGUCCUAUUUGAAAAUGUGUUAUAUUUUUCCUAAGAAAGACGUGGGUUACGUGAGUGAUGAUGAUUGGUGACAACUAGGGUACUCAUGGAAGAAUGGUGGAUAAUUUAUCCAAACCAAUACACAUAAGCCACAUAAGCACAUUUUUAAGUGGUAUCCAUGAACUAUCUUGAGUACCCCACCAACAAAUUGCUCAUUUUCAUUGGUUGGUGGGUAAAUUACCCACCAUUCUUCAAAGGUAAUCUAAAAAAAACCUCGAUGAUUGUAUGUUGCACAGGGACAUGAGAUUUGAAGUCCGUAUACUUACUUGACAAUAAUACACGACUAAAGACAACGUGUAAGUGUCAUACUAACGGACACCCGUGUCCUUUUACAUGCUAGUUUACAAUAAUAACAAUAACAUUAAUUAUUUAAAUUGAUUAUGCAAUAUAUGCAAAGUUUAAAAAAUGAAUUGUAAAAUAAAAACACAUAUUAUAUAUAAUCUUAUAAUUUGAUAUUCUUAUUUUUUUUGACCAAUAAUAUAACUGAAGUCCAAAAAAGCUACUUAGAGAUUGAUUUUUUUAAUAAUUUUUCAGGCAUGUUUGGGACAUUAAAAUAUGACAAUACACAAAAAAAUUUAAUUUUUCAACUAAGGAUGAAUUAAUUAUGAAUUUUUAAGGCGCAAAAAACUCAAAAAAUAAAUAAAUAAUGAAAACUCCAACCUAAAAAUUGAAUUUUGAACUGAUUGUUUGCAUAGACAUCUAUUGAAAUAUAUAAAAAAGGAUCUGCAAAAGUUCGUACCAUUUCAAAGAUUUUUUUAUUUUUCAAUCAAAAUGUGUGAAAUUGCAAUUUUGUUCCGAGUAAGCAUAUACUCACGAAUCAAAGUCUGUUCUCUAAUUUUGUAGGCAUGGUUAGAACAUCAUAAGAACCUUCACAAUGAAAUUUUGAAGUUUUUAAACGAGAUACGAAUUAAUUAUGAAUUAUUUAAGAAAUUCAUAAUUAUGGGGAAUAAAAAUUCAUAAUUAAUCCGUCCCUAGUCGGAAAAAUCUGAUUUUUUGUGUAAAACUAUGUUUUAACAUCCUAAAGAUUCCUGAAAAAAAUCAUGAAAAAAUUCAAUAACUAGAUCACUUUUUUGGACCACACGUAUAUUAUAGGGUCAAAAGUAAGAAGAAUCUCAAAUUACAUGGUUAAAAUAUCUAUUUUUUAUUUUAUAAGAUCAUUUUUCAUGCAUCAGGUAUUUUACAGGGUCAAUUUAAACAAUUAACUCUAACAUAAAUAAUAGAGACAAAUAAAAAUGAAAGGGUGAUUUAAAUAUUGAAAUAUACGAAUAAUUUCAAACUUAAAUAUGGUAGGCUCGAUUCUCAAAAAUCCCCAAUGGAGUCAAGGACAAAUCAUCUAUGAAAAGAAGUCCCCACAUGUUUCAAUUUGUUUAUAAGAUGGAUGCCUAUGAUGUUAAAUUAUGAUCGUUAUGUAGAAAUAUUUUUACCAUGUAUCUAUAGGGUCGUUCCAACAAAUUUGGAGGCUCGACAUUGUAAGUGAAAAAAGGUAUGUAAUAAAAUAAAAAUGUGUGUGUGUAUAUAUAUAUAUAUAUAUAUAUAUAUAUAUAUAUAUAUAUAUAUAUAUAUAUAUGCGAUACACCGAUCACUACCGUAUACACGAGGAACCUCAAACCACCCUCUCAUAAAAAACACCCACUUAACACCAAAAGUAAGAGGACCCAAUUCUAAUAUGCCUAUGAUUGAAGUCAAACCGAGGAAGAAGAAAAGGAAAGUCUGAUGGAGUGAUGAUGAUGGAACGCGUGGUAUGAGAGAGAAAGAUAAUAAGAAAAUUUGUUUUUUUUAGUGGGGUAGUACUUAGUAGUACUACGAAACUACAAAUUUUUGUUUUAGAUUCAUACUUUGAGGAGGUCCAGUUCCAUAGAGCUCUUUGCACGUUCCAAGGUCCGGCCCGAUACCUAUAUAUGUUUAGAGAAGCACCGGAAACCUUUGUUUUCCAACCUUCACUUUAACAAUCACUUGAGAAGAUACUGUUACAUUGCAAUCAUAGGUACCAAGGGCGGAUCCACAUUGAAACAUGGUGUGACACUUGCCACACCAGAUUAUUACCCAUUUUUUAAUAGGUAUAUACUCCUAUAAUAGUUUAAAGGUAUAUGAUAAAUAUUAUUUCGUGCAAAUUAUGAUAGCUUGUAAAGUGUGUUUCAGUGGUAACUAUCAGAGGCUCUUUGCUUCAAUGUUUUUAGUUUGAUUCCCUCCAUAAGAAUUUUUGCAUUUCUCUUGAUUUUUUUUUAAUUGUCAGUAGUGAACUUUGCGCUCAUUGGGAGUUUUAGAAAAACAUCCUUAGCUUGCUCUUCAUAUGUCCUAAUAUUAUAUCUUUUAUCAAGCUAAAUAUAUUUUAUUCUUUUUAAUAUACUUGAUAAUAAAUAUAUACUUUUUUAUGUGAUUUUCUUUUUUAGGAAAACAAUUUUUUAUGUGAUGAAUUAUUUAUAAAAUAUUCUUUUUUAUUAUUGUUGAUUUUAAGUUAUUUGGAGUGCAUAGAGAAUUAAUUUAAGGCAUUUAGUUCAAUUUUUUUUUUUUAAUCAUUAACUUAAUGCUUAUUACAACUUAAAUUUUGUGUUUUUAUCUUACAGUUUUAGUUUAUUCUAGUGUACCAUCUAAUUUUUUUUUCAUGACUCCGUUACCGUUUUAUGUCAAGACACUAAUAACACUUACAUGUUCAGAUGUUUGGGUUUCACUAAUUACAAUGGAAGAAAUUUUUCUCUAAUAAUAUUGUAUUGUAGUUGCAGUUUCGUCUAUAGACGAUUUUUAUUUUAAAUGUAUUGAAUCAAACAAUGUUAUUUAUUAUUUUUAGUAUAAUUUAAUUCAUAGAUUCUUCGUAUUUUUGCCACACCAAAAUACAAUGUCUGGAUCCGCUCCUGAUAGUUACUGAAAAAUUUAGUAAAAAGAACGUGGAUGAAAAGUGAAAACUUGACAAGAAUAGGUAAGGAAAAAUUAGGGCCACAUAGCCAGCUUUAUUUAUUACCUACAACCGACGUACUGGUGGCCACAUGAUAUUUGCAGAGAGCAACAUUAUUUCAAUAGUAUUUGGGUCGUUUGUUCUAGGGACCAAAUUUAGUACCAGUUGAUUUAUACGAAAAAAAAAAAGAAAAAAAGCAGGGAUCUUACCUAAGGAAGGAACAGAAAUAAGAGUACUCGUACAAUACAAUGGUUGUUACUGAACUUAGAGUUUCAUGUCUCACAAGUGCACUUUCAUGUUGCAAUUCCCGGUCUUCAACUUAUCAUUCACGGAUCUUAUUGCUACAAAAAUCAAAACCAGGGUUCAUGCAUCGUAAACUAUCGAUCAAUUCCACUGCUCUCAAUGACAAGGUAUAUAUGUUUUAGUAAUAUCUCUCUCCCUCUCUCUCUCAUGUACACUACUAGUACUAGCGCUACACCUCUUAAGUCAACCAUUAAAUGCAAUUGCAACAUCUAAAUGACAAGCUAGGAUUUAUAUGAGAAAUGUUAAUUUGUGUCCUUAAAGCACACAUUAAUGUUAAAAGUAUAAAUAUUUUAUUAUAAUCAAUGUAUUUGAAUUUAAUUUUUUAUUUUUGAUUAAUUGAAUACACAAAAUCUAAGAAGAUGUUUCUACUUUUUAUCAACAAAAGAAAAUGUUGUUACUUUUAAAUUCUCUAAUAUGUGCUCUUAGAAACAAAGUUAGCAUGACCCUUUAUCUCUCUUAAUAUAUAUAACAAAUCUCGAAUCAUUUAAAUGAUUAAAAAGUUGAAUCAUAAUUUGGAGAUCUCUUCGAUAUAUGUUUUUAAAACUUUGUGAAUUUAUUUGAAAAGAGAGAACUUAUAUUAAAGAAAAAAUUUAAACAAAAAUAAAUUUCUUAUUAAUUAAACUUUAUUAGUAAAAUAAUAAAAAUUAAAUUUUAUUAAAAAAAAACUUUAUUAUCGAUAAUUAAAUAUGUUAAUGAUUAAAGUUGUGCAUUGACAUGUCUAUAGUAGUUGAUUGUGACAUGUAUUUAAAAAUAGAGGAAGUACAUUGUAAUCUCGUCCAAAAGGAGUGGAUUCCGAGGACUGUGAUGUUUAUUGACGAUCAAGUGUCAUACAAUCCAGUUUUUAUGUUUGAAGUCAAAUUUAUAAUUUCUUCUUUUUUGAAUCUUAGUUGUUUAUUUAAAAGGAAAUGGUAACUUGUGUCCUUAGGCAUAAGUUAAGAAGCCAAAUGUAAAAAAGAAUUAUUGAAAAUUGUGCAUUCAAUAUCUUAAAAGUUUUAAAAGUUAUAUUUUCAAUAUAAAAUUUAUUUUUAAUUUCCAUUUUAAGCUCCUUAUUUUGUACCCUUAGGACACAAGUUAACAUGACCCUUAUUUAAAUAGGAUUUAAAAUAUGGGUCAUGUGAACAAAUAUCCUAAAAACAGUUGCUAAUGAUUUAAAAAAGAAAAUAAUUUACACCACUUUUAAGAUAAAGUCAUUCUUUUGACUUUUUACCAAGGGUCCUAAAAUAAUUUACUUUUUUAAGAUAUUAAUUAUAAAUUGUGUGGAAACUUACUUAUAAAUUUACAUGUAUUUAUAAAUAAUGGAUUAUUUAGGUUAAUAUCACCACUCUAAUUUAUUUUUCGCAAUAAUUUUAUGCAAAUAAGUAUUUUUUCUAUAUAUUUGGUUUUUCUUUUGUGAUUUUGUCAUCUUAGUGCGACACGUUGUUUUGGUAUGCAUUAUUAUGAUUUUUUGUGCUGUUGUGAUGUUCAUUCGGUUGGAUGAUAGAUUAACUUUGAUCCAUUACAAAUUGAACAAUGACAUUGGCUUCUUAACGUUACAAAUAUUGAGGCUUUGAUUCUUCAUACACUUUAAUUUGGUUAUAUAUGUAUGCUUUGUCACAUUUGUAGUCAUUUUAUCGUUGUAGCUGUUAACUUAGAUGCUGUGAAUUUGAUUGCAAAUUUAUAAUUUUUUUUUAACAAAUUUUAAUUUGCUCUCAAUCAAUGUAUUCUACCAAUUCAAAUGAAAGAAGAAAUGAAUGUCGGUGUUUUAGUAAGAGAAAAAAAAAUGGUGUUUCAUGCUUUCUGUGUUAGGUGGCACCUUUACAAACGGAUGAUAGCACCAAAAGUUUGGAGCAAGUCAAAAGAAAAAGUCAAGAAGCAUUGUUAAACUCAAGUGAUCCUAUGGUAGCAUUGAAGAUGAUUGACUCAAUCCAAGGGCUGGGAAUUGGUCACCAUUUGGAAGAUGAGAUCAAUAUACAACUUGGGAGGAUAUGUGAUUGGGACCUUUCUC
Molecule: long non-coding RNA, 9310 nt
Filed under: Medicago truncatula (barrel medic)
Lineage: Eukaryota; Viridiplantae; Streptophyta; Magnoliopsida; Fabales; Fabaceae
Description: long non-coding RNA (MTRU_LNC008826)
Source: RNAcentral